UACGUAGGGUGCGAGCGUUAAUCGGAAUUACUGGGCGUAAAGCGUGCGCAGGCGGUUCGUUGUGUCGGCGGUGAAAGUUCGGGGCUCAACCCUGAAUCGGCCGUCGAUACUCCCGGGCUUGAGCACUGUAGAGGCAGAUGGAAUUCCGGGUGUAGCGGUGGAAUGCGUAGAGAUCCGGAAGAACACCGGUGGCGAAGGCGGUCUGCUGGGCAGUAGCUGACACUGAGGCGCGACAGCGUGGGGAGCAAACAGG
Molecule: ribosomal RNA, 253 nt
Filed under: uncultured bacterium
Lineage: Bacteria
Description: partial 16S ribosomal RNA
Rfam family: Bacterial small subunit ribosomal RNA
Source: RNAcentral